UACGGGGGGAGCAAGCGUUGUUCGGAUUUACUGGGCGUAAAGGGCGCGUAGGCGGCCACCGCAAGUCGACUGUGAAAUCUCCGGGCUUAACCCGGAACGGUCAGCCGAUACUGCGGGGCUAGAGUGCAGAAGGGGCAACUGGAAUUCUCGGUGUAGCGGUGAAAUGCGUAGAUAUCGAGAGGAACACCUGCGGCGAAGGCGGGUUGCUGGGCCGACACUGACGCUGAUGCGCGAAAGCCAGGGGAGCGAACGGG
Molecule: ribosomal RNA, 254 nt
Filed under: uncultured bacterium
Lineage: Bacteria
Description: partial 16S ribosomal RNA
Rfam family: Bacterial small subunit ribosomal RNA
Source: RNAcentral